Heterocephalus glaber (naked mole-rat) is the source of this 63-nucleotide non-coding RNA. NCBI's taxonomy places the organism in Eukaryota, Metazoa, Chordata, Mammalia, Rodentia, Bathyergidae. The record is from Rfam.
GGGGAUGUAGCUCAGUGGUGGAGCACUUGCCUGGGAAGUACAAGGCCCUGGAUUCCAUCCCUA